Molecule: ribosomal RNA, 775 nt
Filed under: uncultured Neocallimastigales
Lineage: Eukaryota; Fungi; Neocallimastigomycota; Neocallimastigomycetes; Neocallimastigales
Description: partial large subunit ribosomal RNA
Rfam family: Eukaryotic large subunit ribosomal RNA
Source: RNAcentral
GUACACGCUGUGACUAGCAUAUCAAUAAGCGGAGGAAAAGAAACUAACAAGGAUUCCCCUAGUAACGGCGAGUGAAGCGGGAAGAGCUCAAAUUUGAAAUCUUAAAGGGUUUCCCUUUACGAAUUGUAGUUUAAAGAAGUGUUUUCUGUUGAGGUUUUGGUAAAAGUUCUUUGGAAUAGGACAUCAUAGAGGGUGAGAAUCCCGUAUUUGACCUUUACUUUCAACCUUGUGAUACACUUUCAAAGAGUCGGAUUGUUUGGGAAUGCAGUCCAAAAUGGGUGGUAAAUUUCAUCUAAAGCUAAAUAUUGGCGAGAGACCGAUAGCGAACAAGUACCGUGAGGGAAAGAUGAAAAGAACUUUGAAAAGAGAGUUAAUCAGUACGUGAAAUUGUCAAAAGGGAAGCGUUUGACACCAGUGUUGUUUUUCUGAAAAUCAAUUAAAGAACUGUUUAUGCUAAGCUGUUUAGACUUCAUCAGCUAAUCUGUUUAGUUUUGAGCUUUUCUUUAAUGCACUCUUCAGUUAACAAGUCAACAUCAAUUUCUUUUGCUGUAAAAAAGCUUGAGGAAGGUGGCUUGAGAUUCGUCUUAAGUGUUUAUAGCCUCUUGCCUAUGCAGUCGGAGAGAUUGAGGUCUGCAGCGUAGAUCCUUCGGGGCUAAAUGCAUUUGUGCUAAGUUAUAGCAUUUUAUAGACAACUUGUUGACUAUGAUUUGUCUUGUAGCUUACUCGCUUAUGUUAUUUUACCUACGCUUAGGAUGUUGAAGUCAUCGUAUCGCGC